CAGGAGCCGUAGGCUCACCACUGCCACCAUUUUAUUGGGCAGAGGUUCCUUGACCAAUUUUUCAAGUGAUCACUGACAACUGCGAUACAACAGAAUUUAAGCUCACCAUCAACAGGUUUGCCACCACAUAAAAACCUUUUUUGCCAGAAAUACUAUGAACACUGUUAUUGUACCUUUUAGAGGGAACAGACUCCAAGAGAGUAUGGCAGUUAAACUAUAAUCUGAAGAAUUUAACUGCCAUAAUUGGAGAGAGACUGAGUACAGAGAGACUAAGUGUGUUACCUGUCAAGGAGAAAUAGUCUUAAGAGACAUUUCCUGGAACUUGAAUCUAACUCAUCCUGUGGAGAAAAUAUCCUAAAAAGAAUUCCUGAGAAACUUUGACUGCCACUCGGAGAGUAUGAGUGUUGGAAUGAGUCAGCAGCUGCAGCUUAUAGUUAGAGAAAGUAUUCACAUGAUAUAGAUAUGAGGAUUCUGUGGAGUCUUAGGAAUAUUCUGAAGAUCACCCAGCAAGAAAAGGCACCAGUGCCUCUAAGGUCCUUUCUCGAGCUGAACUGCCAAGCAUUCAAACUCUACUGCAGAGAGCACAACUCUGAGGGGCUGGCCAUGCUACUGGAAUGUCAAAUGUAUGCUUGCCUAAAACACUAUUUUACAGAGAACUCACACAAGGCAAGUGCUCACAUGGGGUCAGAAGAAGCAAUACAAGGAUACUCUCAAGGUCUCUCUGAAGAACUUUGGUAUGGAUUGUGAGACCUGAGAGACACUGGCAUGGGACUGUACAGCAUGAUGUGUCUACUUUAGAGAAGAAUCCUACAAUCUCUAAUAUAGAAGAUAAAAGGCAACUUACUAACUGGAGAUAGCUGCAGUUUACAUACCAACACCUAUUGGAAAGGAUGGAAAAGAAAGAUCUUUAACAAAGAACCUGACAUGAUUAUCCAAACCAAACAAUUUGACAAUACCCACUACAGUGUCAAUAGGUAUCUUGAUACUCAAAAGAUAUAAAGGAGCAGGAUGAAAACUAUGUUGGGAAGCAGACUUCAAGAUUAAGAAAUGAAAAAGACUUAAAAACUAAAAGUCUAUGUAUCAUGAAUAAUUCCCUGAAGAAGAAAGUUGGAAGGCAUUGGAUAUGGGAAACAAUGACCAAAACAUUAAAAAUAAAAGCUCUUAUCUUGACAAAGAGGAAAUGACUGGUUACAAAGGUUGGAAUCAUUUCAGAAUCAGCUGCCUGUGGGCAGUCAGCCUGAAAUGUUAGAACAAAGGUCAAAGUAAAUACCAGUUAGAAGAAAGCCUGAAAUGAGAAGACUGUUUGAAAAUGCUGCAAGUUCCACCCAGCUUGUUUACACAAGCAGUCAAGUUUAAAAAAAACAAACAAAAAAAUCCCACCCCAAAACAAAAGUGGACAAAAAUUUUUAAAAACUGACUAGCACCAUUUAAAAAAAAGUUUUACACUGAUGUAACACAAUCAUAAUAAAGGGCCUGGAAACCACUUUAGUCAGCACCUGUGAGAUAUAUACCAGAGAGAUAAUAGCUACAAAAGGCAAGGCUGGAUUAUAAAUUCUUUUGCAAAACAUUAUACUGGAAAAUUACAGGAAUUUAUUAGCAGCAUUGCCUCACAAAACAGGGAAAAGCUGUUAAGGAGAAAACAAAUCUAUAGAAUACCUAGUAAGAAAUCUAGCCAGCCAGGUAGAUCGUCCUGAGAACAUGUGUAGACAGAACUAGAACAACAACAGGCUGAAAAUGGAAACGGAUCCGCUGGCAUAUCUAGAGUGUUUGAUUGCUCUGUCAGUGACAACAAUAGAACUACCAUAUUUUAGGGGGUUUCCCUACCUUACUGUACCAUGUGAUGAUGAAGAUGAAGCUAGGAAUUGUCAAUUUUUAUUUUUAAAUAUUUCUUACAUUUACAUCACCUUCAUUUCU
Molecule: non-coding RNA, 1914 nt
Organism: Phascolarctos cinereus (koala)
Lineage: Eukaryota; Metazoa; Chordata; Mammalia; Diprotodontia; Phascolarctidae
Source: RefSeq, a predicted model, not a curated record